AAGGAUUCCCCUAGUAGCGGCGAGCGAAGAGGGAUGAGCCCAGCACCGAAGCCCGCGGUUGGGAAACUGACCGACGUGCAAUGUGGUGUUAAGGUAGUACCAAUAUAUCGUACUUAGUGUUGCGUGUCUAAGUCCUUCUUGAAAGGGGCCCGCGUUUCCCGUAGAGGGUGCCAGGCCUGUAUGACCGUAAUGUUUCGUAUCGAUGGUACUUACCUAAGAGUCGGGUUGCUCGAUAAUGCAACCUAAAGUAGGUGGUGAACUCCAUCUAAGGCUAAAUAUGACCACGAGACCGAUAGCAAACAAGUACCGUGAGGGAAAGUUGAAAAGAACUUUGAAGAGAGAGUUCAAGAGUACGUGAAACCGUUCAGGGGUUAAGCCUGUGAAACCCGAGAAGUCGAAAGGGGAGAUUCAACACCUAUUUUCGGCAAAUUUUGUAACCAUUCAUCAGUGGGAACAAAGUGUAUGUGUGCAAUUCUCGUAAUUGUUUUCACAUACACCCUUAUCUGUGUGAAUGUGUAUUUACAGCCGAUGGUGUGCACUUCUCCACCUAGUAGCACGUCGCGAAUUGUUGGAUUUCGUCUUACGGCUCAUUUGGUUCAGACCGUGACUUGAUGGUUUCGUUUUACGUUUCCAUUUCGCUUACGGGCCAUAUUGAUGUCCUGACGAAUGUCCGACAAUAUAUUUAUUGGUGUUCGGCGUAUGUUUUAUAUACGUUGCACAUUUAUGUGUGUAACCGUACCGUUCACCGUUCUGCGGCGAUAUAAUUCGGGAAUUCACAGGACCCGUCUUGAAACACGGACCAAGGAGUCUAGCAUGUACGCGAGUCAAUGGGCAAUUUAUAAAACCCCAAAGGCGUAACGAAAGUGAACGUUCGUAUAUUGACGAACUAUAUAUUAUAUUUUGAUGUAUUAUGUAGGGAUGAUGGGAAGCUACACAUAUAGCGACCCCGCAAUCCCGGGGCGUCUCAUAUACUUAUACUUCGGUAUAAGUUAAGGCGCACCUAGAGCGUACACGCUGGGACCCGAAAGAUGGUGAACUAUGCCUGGUCAGGACGAAGUCAGGGGAAACUCUGAUGGAGGUCCGUAGCGAUUCUGACGUGCAAAUCGAUCGUAUGAGCUGGGUAUAGGGGCGAAAGACCAAUCGAACCAUCUAGUAGCUGGUUCCCUCCGAAGUUUCCCUCAGGAUAGCUGGCAUUCGGAGAAAAUUUUUUAUAAAGAUAUGUGCAAUUGUUGAACGAUACAUAAAAUGAGUUUCAUCCGGUAAAGCGAAUGAUUAGAGGCAUCGGGAUCGAAACGGUCUCGACCUAUUCUCAAACUUUAAAUGGGUGAGAAAUAUGGCUUGCUUAAAUUAUGAAGCCGUUUGUAUAAAUUUAUUUAUGCAUAUUUGAAUCAAUGAGUGCCAAGUGGGCCACUUUUG
This 1416-nucleotide ribosomal RNA is filed under the name Clinidium sculptile. RNAcentral's name for it is "partial 28S ribosomal RNA". It matches the Rfam family "Eukaryotic large subunit ribosomal RNA", at positions 70 to 1139 of the family's 3401-position model. Lineage: Eukaryota; Metazoa; Arthropoda; Insecta; Coleoptera; Carabidae. The record is from RNAcentral.